Molecule: long non-coding RNA, 576 nt
Filed under: Aquilegia coerulea
Lineage: Eukaryota; Viridiplantae; Streptophyta; Magnoliopsida; Ranunculales; Ranunculaceae
Description: long non-coding RNA (ACOE_LNC002371)
Source: RNAcentral
AAACAAUACGAAACAUAUGGUUUCUGGUAAUUAGAUCGGACAGAAAGUUGAUCUUUUGUUUAAUAUCUCUCAAAUUCAUCAAUUUAUUCUUCUUCUUCUCUCUCUCUCUGCUCUGCUCUCUCUCUAUGCUCUUUGUUUGUUCACGUUAAUCAUAGAGGUUGAAGUAAUACUUUUGGGUUAUAAGUAACGAAUAAGAUUUUCUCAAGUUCAACAUGAUUAGAUCUUGAUUCAAUCGUGGCCAACUCUUUUCCCUAAACCUUUCUAUUCUUUCACAAGUCAAAACCUUAAUUAAACUUAGAUCAUCGUCUUCAUCAUCGUCUCCGGCCUGUUCUUAAUCCAUCGAUUCAGAAGGUAUUUCUUUCUCCUUGAAUCAAACCUCUCUUUCUACUUUUCUAUAAAUUUCUACUUUUUUUUAUCACAAGUUAUGACUUAUUAAACCUAUGACUUGCAGCCUCAUAGAAAUUGAGGCAAAGCUGACAAGGCUCGAAAUUGAGAAGGUUAGUAUGAGUUUUUUUUAGUGUAAUAUGUUGUCUAUAUUUAGGUAAUAUAUAGAUGAUGCUCUUAGGUACUUGCAGU